Molecule: long non-coding RNA, 942 nt
Organism: Equus quagga
Lineage: Eukaryota; Metazoa; Chordata; Mammalia; Perissodactyla; Equidae
Exons: 3
Source: RefSeq, a predicted model, not a curated record
CUAAGUGCUGGCCGCUCUGAGUGGUCAUUCACACGCCAGCUUUGCCGCGGAGGAAGAUUGGAUGAACACGCGCUUUUCUGAACAAAUUGGGUGACAAGCAGGUCGAGCCGUGUUCAACAGCCUCCCAGAAACUGGAAAUCCAGAAUUUUAUGUGAAGCCCUCAGUUUUUCAGUGUUGGCAGCUCAGUGGGCCCAACAAUCCGCAUCAGCAGAAGCCUGCCAGUCCACCACAUGUGGCUCGAACGCAGCAGGCUGGCACGCGAUGUGCCACUUGGGCGAGUUUAAGGAGAGUGCAAAGUUCUCCAAAACCAAAUAGCUGUGACAACUUUUUCUGCUCAUGCCUUCAUCUCCCAAGGAACACUACACAUCAGGGACUAGACUCCGUUUUCAGGAAAUGCUGACACGACUUUGAAAACCUCCUUCAGGAAGAGCCCAGAGCACAGCUCGGAGCCAGUCUACAGGCCCUUAGAGGCCCGAAGUCACCACCAAGAGGCCUCUGGUUGCACGGCCCUGCCAAACCACAGCACACCCCAUGGAACGCCCUGCACGUUUCUUUUCAAUUCAAACCUGCACGCAUUUACUUUUUCUGGCAUCGUCAUUCUUUCCUGUGGAUCAGAGUCUCCAUCUGGUACUAUUUCCCUUGAGCCUAAAAAAUUUCUGUCACAUUUUUUGUAGUUCAGACUUGCUGGCAAUGGAUUUAUUCUCCCAGCUUUUGUAUAUCUAAAAAUGUCUAUUCUGUGUGCACUUUUGAAGGACACUUUUGCUAGAUAUAGAACUCUUGGCCGAAAGUUUGGUGUUUUUUCCCUUCAGAAUUUAAAGAUGUCUUCUGACUGUCAUUGUUUCUGAUGAGCCAUAAUUCUUACCACUUUUUCCCUCGAGGUGGUCUGACUAUUUUCACUGUGUGGUUUACAUUUGCUUGUCAGGAGUUUGAAUGAUAAGCCUA